RNAcentral lists this unclassified non-coding RNA (513 nucleotides) under Pyrrhopappus pauciflorus. RNAcentral describes it as "partial external transcribed spacer". The record is from RNAcentral. Lineage: Eukaryota; Viridiplantae; Streptophyta; Magnoliopsida; Asterales; Asteraceae.
GGGGAUCAUCUUUGCUUUUGGGUGCUUGCUUGGUGUUUGUGCCAAGUUGGUGGUUGAUUGCUGGAUGUUCUUCGGGGAUGUCGACCGUAAAGGUGCAUGAGUGGUGUUUGGCAUGUUAAUGGUGGUUGGAUGUCUGCUUGCGCAGCAACUUCCAUGCGUUCAUGCCUCUUCAGUUGUGUUACAAGGCUCUAGUUGUCUUGUGCAUAUGGUGGGUUUCUGUGUUGCAUACCUAACGAAGGCAUUGUGUGGCUAGAUGAAAGAUGAUUUCGUUAUACGUUGCUUGCGGCGUUGAACGAACCUCGAAGCGGUCUCUAUGUUCCAUGCUGUCUUUGCCAAAUCAUUGAUCGCAUGGCCCUUGGAGCGCUGCUUGGUGUCUUGGAUACGGAACAUCAUGUGGGCUGUAGGGUGCUCAAUGAUCCUAUUUUUGCCCCCAUUAGCGUUCCCGCUUCUAAAACGAUGGCCCGUCAUGUGUCGGCAUGUUCGUGCAUGAUGGGUUGUGUCGAAGAGGAUUGC